RNAcentral lists this transfer RNA (76 nucleotides) under Neobacillus paridis. RNAcentral's name for it is "tRNA-Asn". It matches the Rfam family "tRNA". Rfam says of the family: Transfer RNA (tRNA) molecules are approximately 80 nucleotides in length. Their secondary structure includes four short double-helical elements and three loops (D, anti-codon, and T loops). Lineage: Bacteria; Bacillati; Bacillota; Bacilli; Caryophanales; Bacillaceae. The record is from RNAcentral.
UGGGGAGUAGCCAAGUUGGUAAGGCCGCGCAUUGUUAAUGCGUCUAGCGCGGGUUCGAGUCCCGCAUCUCCAGCCA